Molecule: ribosomal RNA, 232 nt
Filed under: uncultured bacterium
Lineage: Bacteria
Description: partial 16S ribosomal RNA
Rfam family: Bacterial small subunit ribosomal RNA
Source: RNAcentral
GACGAACGCUGGCGGCGUGCUUAACACAUGCAAGUCGAGCGGUAAGGCCCUUUCGGGGGUACGACGAGCGGCGAACGGGUGAGUAACACGUGGGUGACCUGCCCUUAGCUCUGGGAUAAGCCUGGGAAACUGGGUCUAAUACCGGAUAUGACUCCAUGACGCAUGUUGUGGGGUGGAAAGCCUUGUGCGGCUAGGGAUGGGCCUGCGGCCUAUCAGCUUGUUGGUGGGGUGA